AUGAACAUAGCAGGAGAGAUUUUUCCCAUGGCAGUACGGAUGGGGAAGGCACCGAAGAAGUAAAUCUUUCAGGUCAAAGGACUGCUAUGGGACG
This 94-nucleotide non-coding RNA is filed under the name Desulfotalea psychrophila. Its description in RNAcentral is "Glycine sequence". It matches the Rfam family "Glycine riboswitch aptamer". Rfam says of the family: This family represents the bacterial glycine riboswitch. RNAcentral also lists the same sequence under 1 other name. Lineage: Bacteria; Pseudomonadati; Thermodesulfobacteriota; Desulfobulbia; Desulfobulbales; Desulfocapsaceae. The record is from RNAcentral.